Molecule: ribosomal RNA, 1026 nt
Filed under: Streptococcus sp.
Lineage: Bacteria; Bacillati; Bacillota; Bacilli; Lactobacillales; Streptococcaceae
Description: bacterial SSU rRNA
Rfam family: Bacterial small subunit ribosomal RNA
Source: RNAcentral
GGCGGCCUAUACUAUAAGCGAGUAGUCACUGAUAACUGGAGGUUGCUCGGUCUUGGAUAACUUGCGAACGGGUGAGUCAAGCGUAGGUCACCAGCCUGGUAGCGGGGGAUAACUAUUGGAAACGAUAGCUAAUCCCGCAUAACAUGGAUUAUCGCAUGAUAUUGCAUUGAAAGGUGCAAAUGCAUCACUACCAGAAGGACCUGCGUUGUAUUAGCUAGUUGGUGGGGUAACGGCUCACCAAGGCGACGAUGCGUAGCCCACCUGAGAGGGUGAUCGGCCACACUGGGACUGAGCCACGGCCCAGACUCCUAUAGGAGGCAGCGUUUGGCAAUCUUCGGCAAUAGACUGAAGUCUGACCGAGCUACGCCGCGAGAGUGACGAAGGUUUUCGGAUCGUAAAGCUCUGUAGUGAGAGAAGAACGAGUGUCAAAGUCGAAAGUUCACUCUGUGACGGUAUCUUACCUGAAGGACGGCUAACUGCGUGCCAAGCCGCGGCAAUUCGUACGUCCCGAGCGUUGUCCAAAUUUAUCGCGCGUAACGCGAGCGCCGCCGGUAGAUAAGUCUGAAGUAAAGGCUGUGGCUUACCACGACGCUUUGGAAACUGUUAACUGGUGUAAGGCGAGAGUGGAAUUCCAUGUCUGGCGCUGAAAUGCGUCGAUAUAUAGAGGAACACCGUUAGCGAAAGUGGCUCUCUGGCUUGUAACUGACGCUGAGGCUCGAAAGCGUGAGGGGCCACUGGAUCGAUACUCUCGUAGUCCACGCCGCAAUAUGAGUUCUAAUGUUAGACCCUUUCCGGGGUUUAGCGCUGAGUUACGCAUCCGCACUCCGCCUGGGGAGGUUGUCCACCCAGUUGUACCUAUUGGAUCAGGCUGCCGCCCGCACCAGAUGCGGUUAAAUUCGAAGCAACGAUUACCACAUGUUGACAUCCUUCUGACCACUCUAGAGAUAAAACUUUCCUUCGGGAGAGAGGUGGAAGGUUUUGCUAGAUUGUCGUCGGGUCGUACCUUUAAAUCCCGGGUUAAUUUCU